CCGGGGCGUCUGCAGUGGCCCUCGGGGCAGGCAGGAAUGGGGGGGGGUCGGCCCCGGCCGGGGCGGGGGGGGGCGGGGGCGGCUGCGCCCUCCUCCCUCCUCCCAGCGGCGUGAGAUGGGUCCUGGCCGGGGCGUCUGCAGUGGCCCUCGGGGCAGGCAGGUUCCAGAGGUCCAGGCGCCCCAUCCCGUCCACGCAGGCGAAGAGCGCGGGGUGCACGGGGGACCACAUGACGUCGUACACGUAGUCGGCGUUGUCUUCAAAGGAGUAGAGCGGCUUGUUGUGCUGUGGAGCGGAGAGACCGUGAGGGCCCCGGUCGGGCGAGCCUGAUUACGGACUUUGCACGUUCACAAAGUGCCAUAAAACUCCCCGAGAUGAAAGUCCUCGAAAAGCGAAUAUUGUCACAUCAAAAUAGCACAGAAGUCGGAGGCAAGUCUGAAAGUACACCAGAAAUAAAAUAAAUCUAAACAAUGGGAGUUUUUUUUCCACAACGUCUUCUUCAUCCAGUCAGCUGUCUGUAUUCUCUUCAUGGGUUCGACUAAAUGCCUGGGCAGACCAGAGUAAGAAGAGAAAAAAAACAUAACACAAAAUAUGAACGAUCAAAUCCUUUACGCACGGGAUAUGCAAAGAACGUUAUCUGUAGGUGACAGCUCCAAAUGUCAGAGCGGACUUCCAAAGCGUACUGCUGGCAAAGGUAACAUGCACAGAAUGCAUGUGCUGAAGUCAAAGUGAGAAAAAUCCGUGCGAAGACAAUAACCUGGGGCAAAGACUGGUGAAGGUGGCAGUAACUAAGUGAUUUCUCGUUUCAUGAAUCACAUUGCUUUGGCAUUGCUCAGCACUGAACACAAUUAUAUAAUACUAGUAAAGCAACGCAGAAGACUUUAGAGGGCCACUGCGCAUGAGGGGCAUAGGUAGAUGGGUGAGAUGUGUUUUACUUGCAAAAAAAUGUCUAAUGUGGGAAUGAUUUGAAAAAGAACGUAAGAUAUUGGGACCUCAAAAUCGAAAGGGUAGACAUUAGCCUUAUGGUUUUAUAUUUUAAUAUUCUAUGACUCUUUUAUGUCAGAACGUUUACUAUAAAUCAUGCUUGCCGCGUGAUUUCAAGGUAAAAUUAUUUGCGCAGUUGCUAUUUAUGCAGCUUCUUGCUUUCUCUCGUGCUUUGGACUAGGUGAUUCAAACUACCUUAUCCAGAGAAUCUGAAUAUCCAGUGACAGACACUUCCAAGUGGCAUGACUGCAUCAUUAUUCCUUACUGAGCUGGAGUAGCUGGUCCUUCCUCGACCACUUGUGAAUACUAAAUUAUUUAACUCUUAGUAAAAGACUAGUCCCGCCCCAAAUUCUUGAUGUUAUCGUUAGCCAGUCACUAUUUGUUAAAGACCACGAAUAACACAUUUUCUUCAAAUCAAAGGGUGGAAAACACAUGCUUAAAAGCGUCAAUUCUCAGUAUCCUCUCUCGGUGACCCCGCUGAUAAUAUAACUGAGUGUACGGAGGUCUAGAUGGAGACAUACACAGACAGACAGACAUGAAACACAUACCACAUCUGCAGUCCUUGUUCUGAUCAAUUAUAAAACCACCCAACCUUAAACAGUCAUUUUCUAGGAAGCCAAUAUUAUCUGAUACAUUAGUUCUCGAGAUAAAUUAUCCUGUUAAUCUCUACUUUGUGUCUUUCCUUUUUUCUUUUAGUUGCUGUUUCUGCGAGAAACUUAGUCAAAAUUGUAAUAUAUCCUGGAGACUUCACUUUUUAAACAUCUGGAAAUAACAGCUAUUGUUCAUGACUUACCAAAAUCCAAUUUUCUCCUGCUUAAUAGUAUAGUUUGAAAUGCUAUUACUGUCUAGGUUUUCUUCCAAUGUCCUCACCCCCCCCCCCCGACCCUCCAGACGGAAGCUCCCACUGCAAGAAUCACUGGCAUGUUCUUCUAGGCUGCAGUAUGCACCCGUUUAGGGAAAGGAAGAAGGGCUUGCAUUUUCAAAGGCUUUGUUUUAACGUGGAUAAAUUCACAGGUUGGGAGGGUCUUUGUCGGGAUUGAACCCCCUGUCAGGAUACCUGGUGGACCAGCAGUGAGGAACCACUGGUUCCCAAGUAUAACCUGGUACAAGCAGACAGGCAUAGGUUAAUGCCACUCUUCCAUUAUUAAGCAGUGCUGUUUUGAAUAUUGAUUGUACUUUUUUGAUAAAGGAAUUCUUUGGUCUUUUUUAUUUUAAGGGGCUCAACGGGUAAUCUGAAAACCCCAUUAAAAAUUUGGUGAUGGAGACGAAGGAGCACACUUGUCGUGAGGAGCACCAGGUGGAAGUGCUUAAUCACUAUACUGUAUACCUGCAACUAAUAUAGCACCCUAUGGUAACUAACUGGAAUUAAAAUAAAA
Long non-coding RNA from Nyctereutes procyonoides (raccoon dog), 2358 nucleotides. RefSeq lists it as uncharacterized. The record is from RefSeq and is a predicted model, not a curated record. Lineage: Eukaryota; Metazoa; Chordata; Mammalia; Carnivora; Canidae. The transcript has 4 exons.